RNAcentral lists this unclassified non-coding RNA (332 nucleotides) under soil metagenome. RNAcentral describes it as "partial contains 5.8S ribosomal RNA, internal transcribed spacer 2, and large subunit ribosomal RNA". The stretch from base 1 to 120 matches the Rfam family "5.8S ribosomal RNA", at positions 35 to 154 of the family's 154-position model. The record is from RNAcentral.
GAUGAAGAACGCAGCAAAAUGCGAUAAGUAAUGUGAAUUGCAGAAUUCAGUGAAUCAUCGAAUCUUUGAACGCACAUUGCGCCCGCCAGUAUUCUGGCGGGCAUGCCUGUUCGAGCGUCAUUUCAACCCUCAAGCACAGCUUGGUGUUGGGACUCGCGUUAAUUCGCGUUCCUCAAAUUGAUUGGCGGUCACGUCGAGCUUCCAUAGCGUAGUAGUAAAACCCUCGUUACUGGUAAUCGUCGCAGCCACGCCGUUAAACCCCAACUUCUGAAUGUUGACCUCGGAUCAGGUAGGAAUACCCGCUGAACUUAAGCAUAUCAAUAAGCGGAGGA